This 691-nucleotide long non-coding RNA is filed under the name Gallus gallus (chicken). The record is from RNAcentral. Lineage: Eukaryota; Metazoa; Chordata; Aves; Galliformes; Phasianidae.
UGGAGACUGAAGGUGAAAAUCAGAAGUAAGAUUUUUUGCUGGAAGUUAAGGGACUGCUCCUGCACUUCUCAAAGACAUAGCAAAGAUUCCCUGGAAGAAGAGUUUAUAAAACAAGAAAGCCAUAGAGAAGAUGAUGAGAGAGAAAGGGCAGAAGUGGAGCAGAAGAGGGAGAAAACUCACCAGUGAGAUUGCACAGAUGUUCAGCAGGGAAGAGAGCAUUGCCUGGUGGAAGGAAGCAGCUAUUAAAUGGAAAAUAAAUAACUGUCAAGGUAGGUAAUUGCUCUGAUGUUUUGCCAAGUGAGUGGGUGUUCACUGUGGACUAAGGAGAGUGUAAGAGAUUUUGCAGGUGGUCCUAGGAAAUGGAAGAGAACCAAGACAGUGGUCAAGGAACCAGAUGAGCAGAAGGUUUGGGAAUUUACUGUGGUCUGGGUAAACAAACAGAAAGCUAAACGUGUACUUGAGUGUGCUCUGACUUCUUAAGUUCCACAUGUUAAUGUGAUGAUAGGCAACCAAUGAAGCAAGGCAUUCAGAGACACUCUUUUAUGGGAAGAAGUACUUAAGUGUUUUUUGCUAUGUCCUGAGACCAGAACUAAGUGCUAGCUUAGAUUGGAUUGGAGAGUUUCCAGUCCAGUGCUGAUUUGCUUUAUCUGUAAUUAACCUCACUUGCAAAUCUCAAAACCUUGAUUCUGCC